RNAcentral lists this ribosomal RNA (1456 nucleotides) under uncultured organism. RNAcentral's name for it is "SSU rRNA". It matches the Rfam family "Bacterial small subunit ribosomal RNA". The record is from RNAcentral.
GAUGAACGUUAGCUACAGGCUUAACACAUGCAAGUCGAGGGGCAGCAUGGUCUUAGCUUGCUAAGGCCGAUGGCGACCGGCGCACGGGUGAGUAACACGUAUCCAACCUGCCGUCUACUCUUGGACAGCCUUCUGAAAGGAAGAUUAAUACAAGAUGGCAUCAUGAGUCCGCAUGUUCACAUGAUUAAAGGUAUUCCGGUAGACGAUGGGGAUGCGUUCCGUUAGAUAGUAGGCGGGGUAACGGCCCACCUAGUCUUCGAUGGAUAGGGGUUCUGAGAGGAAGGUCCCCCACAUUGGAACUGAGACACGGUCCAAACUCCUACGGGAGGCAGCAGUGAGGAAUAUUGGUCAAUGGGCGAGAGUCUGAACCAGCCAAGUAGCGUGAAGGAUGACUGCCCUAUGGGUUGUAAACUUCUUUUAUAGAGGAAUAAAGUCGGGUAUGCAUACCCGUUUGCAUGUACUUUAUGAAUAAGGAUCGGCUAACUCCGUGCCAGCAGCCGCGGUAAUACGGAGGAUCCGAGCGUUAUCCGGAUUUAUUGGGUUUAAAGGGAGCGUAGAUGGAUGUUUAAGUCAGUUGUGAAAGUUUGCGGCUCAACCGUAAAAUUGCAGUUGAUACUGGAUAUCUUGAGUGCAGUUGAGGCAGGCGGAAUUCGUGGUGUAGCGGUGAAAUGCUUAGAUAUCACGAAGAACUCCGAUUGCGGAGGCAGCCUGCUAAGCUGCAACUGACAUUGAGGCUCGAAAGUGUGGGUAUCAAACAGGAUUAGAUACCCUGGUAGUCCACACGGUAAACGAUGAAUACUCGCUGUUUGCGAUAUACAGCAAGCGGCCAAGCGAAAGCGUUAAGUAUUCCACCUGGGGAGUACGCCGGCAACGGUGAAACUCAAAGGAAUUGACGGGGGCCCGCACAAGCGGAGGAACAUGUGGUUUAAUUCGAUGAUACGCGAGGAACCUUACCCGGGGUUAAAUUGCAGAGAAAUUACGGUGAAAGCCGUAAGCCGCAAGGCAUCUGUGAAGGUGCUGCAUGGUUGUCGUCAGCUCGUGCCGUGAGGUGUCGGCUUAAGUGCCAUAACGAGCGCAACCCUUGUUGUCAGUUACUAACAGGUUCUGCUGAGGACUCUGACAAGACUGCCAUCGUAAGAUGUGAGGAAGGUGGGGAAUGACGUCAAAUCAGCACGGCCCUUACGUCCGGGGCUACACACGUGUUACAAUGGGGGGUACAGAGGGCCGCUACCACGCGAGUGGAUGCCAAUCCCAAAAACCUCUCUCAGUUCGGACUGGAGUCUGCAACCCGACUCCACGAAGCUGGAUUCGCUAGUAAUCGCGCAUCAGCCACGGCGCGGUGAAUACGUUCCCGGGCCUUGUACACACCGCCCGUCAAGCCGUGGGAGCCGGGGGUACCUGAAGUGCGUAACCGCGAGGAGCGCCCUAGGGUAAAACUGGUGACUGGGGCUAAGUC